UACGUAGGGUGCGAGCGUUGUCCGGAAUUAUUGGGCCUAAAGAGCUUGUAGGCGGUUUGUCGCGUCUGCCGUGAAAAUUCGAGGCUCAACCUCGAACUUGCGGUGGGUACGGGCAGACUAGAGUGUGGUAGGGGAGACUGGAAUUCCUGGUGUAGCGGUGAAAUGCGCAGAUAUCAGGAGGAACACCGGCGGCGAAGGCGGUGCUCUGGGCCAGUAUUGACGCUGAGGAGCGAAAGCGUGGGUAGCAAACAGG
Molecule: ribosomal RNA, 253 nt
Filed under: uncultured bacterium
Lineage: Bacteria
Description: partial 16S ribosomal RNA
Rfam family: Bacterial small subunit ribosomal RNA
Source: RNAcentral